Long non-coding RNA from Bos taurus (domestic cattle), 852 nucleotides. NCBI's taxonomy places the organism in Eukaryota, Metazoa, Chordata, Mammalia, Artiodactyla, Bovidae. The record is from Ensembl.
AGAUGUAAACAAACAAUGUGACAGGCUCAGAAGCACACGAGCCCAAGGAGCAAACUGGCAGUAAGGUCACAGGAAAUGAAGAGUGCUCUAAAGCGGCAGGAAGUGGCGCCCUGGGUGGACCCCAGUGCCGGAAUCUGACCUGGACAGGAAGUGAAGGGCAUCAUCUGAGGAGCAGGAAGGGGAGAUUAUUUUUUUGUGUUGGUUGUAGUGAGGAAAAUAAGUGUCGGUUACACAAACCUUGCUAAAGCUUUCAUCCUGUUUGGGGUUUGAGGCGGCUUGAAGCUUCUCUAACAAAGCAAGAGUGGCUGGGGGAAGUAGGGCACAUGCUGCCUUUAAUCCAUUGAGCCUGACCUAGGCACUCGUUGAUGUCCCAAGGAAAUGUUCAAAGAAGAAUCCUCAACAAUACUACUUCCUCUACAGCCCGGAUGUAACCGCAACUGUCUUUAGCGUAAUAUACCCAGGCAUUAUGGGACUUUUCCCUGGGCCUCCAGAGAACGGAGGACUGGAACUCGGCCCCACCAGAAAUCAGACCAGACCAGAACCAGAAUUCGAGUUCUCUGCCAAGAGGAGGUGACCAGUCUCCAAUCCUCAGCUCAGGCUGAGGGCCCUUUGACCAGAUUCCUGCAUCCAGGACAGGGGGACUAGAAAAACAGGUCUGGCACAAAGAAGGUCCUUAAUAAUCAUUCAUUAAAGUUUUAUUUUGAAUCUCACUUCCAUUCUUUUUCUUUAACACCCUCUGCAGGAGGUAAUAAUGAAGACUAAAAUGUCAAGUAGGCAAUAAGAGGAGGCAAUGUAGGAACAGAGAAAAUCCACAAACCUGAUCAUUGGUUCUUGGAUUACUGACCAUUAACC